GACGAACGCUGGCGGCGUGCUUAACACAUGCAAGUCGAACGGAAAGGCCCUGCUUUUGUGGGGUGCUCGAGUGGCGAACGGGUGAGUAACACGUGAGUAACCUGCCCUUGACUUUGGGAUAACUUCAGGAAACUGGGGCUCAUACCGGAUAGGAGCUCCUGCUGCAUGGUGGGGGUUGGAAAGUUUCGGCGGUUGGGGAUGGACUCGCGGCUUAUCAGCUUGUUGGUGGGGUAGUGGCUUACCAAGGCUUUGACGGGUAGCCGGCCUGGGAGGGUGACCGGCCACAUUGGGACUGAGAUACGGCCCAGACUCCUACGGGAGGCAGCAGUGGGGAAUAUUGCACAAUGGGCGGGAGCCUGAUGCAGCAACGCCGCGUGCGGGAUGACGGCCUUCGGGUUGUAAACCGCUUUCGCCUGUGACGAAGCGUGAGUGACGGUAAUGGGUAAAGAAGCACCGGCUAACUACGUG
Molecule: ribosomal RNA, 468 nt
Filed under: uncultured bacterium
Lineage: Bacteria
Description: partial 16S ribosomal RNA
Rfam family: Bacterial small subunit ribosomal RNA
Source: RNAcentral